GGCAUUUAUCAAUUCUGUACAUGUUCUUCUGACUUCCAGCUGCCACCAAACAUGACUCUCUGUCUGUGGGUGUUCUCCAACCAUGGAACAUGUUAGUGCCAAGAACUUAACUUCAAGAGCAGCCUGCCACUAAUAACUGAAGAGUUUUGAUUUCUGACUGUGUGAUUCACAGUUGAAAAUGCAGUGAGAGGUGAUUGUGGCUGAGGGAAACAAAAUGAAGGUCUAAAACAAUAAAAAGGCCUCUUCUCCAACAAAAUGGUGAAUAAGACUCCACCUACUACAAGGAUUGGGAGAAUAAUAGAGAGUGGAAUGGGAACAACUGCACUCCUCUGCAACCUUCCCACAGAACAGACUUCUAAAGGAAACAUUUGGCCAGAGGACAAGGCCCAGCAAACAUGCAUUCUUUUUACUACUAUUCCAGUAUAA
Molecule: long non-coding RNA, 426 nt
Filed under: Callithrix jacchus (white-tufted-ear marmoset)
Lineage: Eukaryota; Metazoa; Chordata; Mammalia; Primates; Cebidae
Description: lncRNA (ENSCJAG00000069997.1)
Source: RNAcentral